AUCUUCUCUCAGAGUUUUUGCUCUGAUUAUGUGUAGUAUCUGUUCUAGAAAGCUUAAUCUCUUUCUGCCUCCACACGUUGCGAGGCUGUUAUGAUUAACCUAAUUUAUUUUGGAGUACUAUGACUAUUUAUAUUUGGCAACUAUGUUGUCCACAUUGUAAACAGUCUUCUAUCGACCAUGAAUCGCACUAUUAUCAUGGUAAUAAAAAGGUAGACUCCCC
Molecule: small nuclear RNA, 220 nt
Filed under: Cavenderia fasciculata SH3
Lineage: Eukaryota; Evosea; Eumycetozoa; Acytosteliales; Cavenderiaceae
Description: Dictyostelium fasciculatum SH3 U2 spliceosomal RNA
Rfam family: U2 spliceosomal RNA
About the family: U2 is a small nuclear RNA (snRNA) component of the spliceosome (involved in pre-mRNA splicing). Complementary binding between U2 snRNA (in an area lying towards the 5' end but 3' to hairpin I) and the branchpoint sequence (BPS) of the intron results the bulging out of an unpaired adenosine, on the BPS, which initiates a nucleophilic attack at the intronic 5' splice site, thus starting the first of two transesterification reactions that mediate splicing.
Source: Rfam by way of RNAcentral